UGGGGAAUAUUGCACAAUGGGCGCAAGCCUGAUGCAGCCAUGCCGCGUGUAUGAAGAAGGCCUUCGGGUUGUAAAGUACUUUCAGCGGGGAGGAAGGGAGUAAAGUUAAUACCUUUGCUCAUUGACGUUACCCGCAGAAGAAGCACCGGCUAACUCCGUGCCAGCAGCCGCGGUAAUACGGAGGGUGCAAGCGUUAAUCGGAAUUACUGGGCGUAAAGCGCACGCAGGCGGUUUGUUAAGUCAGAUGUGAAAUCCCCGGGCUCAACCUGGGAACUGCAUCUGAUACUGGCAAGCAUGAGUCUCGUAGAGGGGGGUAGAGUUCCAGGUGUAGCGGUGAAAUGCGUAGAGAUCUGGAGGAAUACCGGUGGCGAAGGCGGCCCCCUGGACGAAGACUGACGCUCAGGUGCGAAAGCGUGGGGAGCAAACAGG
Molecule: ribosomal RNA, 429 nt
Filed under: Chloroflexota bacterium
Lineage: Bacteria; Bacillati; Chloroflexota
Description: Chloroflexi bacterium partial 16S ribosomal RNA
Rfam family: Bacterial small subunit ribosomal RNA
Source: RNAcentral